GACGAACGCUGGCGGCGUGCUUAACACAUGCAAGUCGAACGGAAAGGCCCUGCGUUCGUGCGCUGCUCGAUUGGCGAACGCGUGAGUAACACGUGAGCAACCUGCCCUUCUCUUUGGGAUAACUUCAGGUAACUGGGGUUACUACCGGAUAGGAGCUCCUGUACCGUUGUGAGGGUGGGAAAGUUUCGGCGGUUGGGGAUGGACUCGCGGCUUAUCAGCUAGUUGGUUGGGUAGGGGCUUACCCAGGCUGUGACGGGUAACCGGCAUGAGAGGGUGACCGGCGACAUUGGGCCUGAGAGACGCCCCAGUCUGCUACAGGAGGCAACAGUGGGGAAUCUUGCACAAUGGGCGGACGCCUGAUACAGCAACCCCGCGUGCGGAAUGACCUCCUUCGGGUAAAAAACCGCUGUAGCCUGUGACGAAGCGUGAGUGACGGUACUGAGUAAAGAAGCACCGGCUAACUACGUG
RNAcentral lists this ribosomal RNA (468 nucleotides) under uncultured bacterium. RNAcentral describes it as "partial 16S ribosomal RNA". It matches the Rfam family "Bacterial small subunit ribosomal RNA", at positions 28 to 507 of the family's 1533-position model. The record is from RNAcentral.